Molecule: ribosomal RNA, 253 nt
Filed under: uncultured bacterium
Lineage: Bacteria
Description: partial 16S ribosomal RNA
Rfam family: Bacterial small subunit ribosomal RNA
Source: RNAcentral
UACGAAGGAUCCAAGCGUUAUCCGGAUUUAUUGGGUCUAAAGGGUGCGUAGGCGGCUUUUUAAGUCAGUGGUGAAAGCUCCAUGCUUAACAUGGAAAUUGCCAUUGAUACUGAAGAGCUUGAGUACAUUUGAAGUGGGCGGAAUAUGUCAUGUAGAGGUGAAAUUCUUAGAGAUGACAUAGAACACCGAUUGCGAAGGCAGCUUACUAGGCUGUAACUGACGCUGAGGCACGAAAGUGUGGGGAUCAAACAGG